UACGUAGGGUGCGAGCGUUGUCCGGAAUUAUUGGGCGUAAAGGGCUCGUAGGCGGUCUGUUGCGUCAGGAGUGAAAACUCGGGGCUUAACCCCGAGCCUGCUUCUGAUACGGGCAGACUAGAGGUAUGCAGGGGAGAACGGAAUUCCUGGUGUAGCGGUGAAAUGCGCAGAUAUCAGGAGGAACACCGGUGGCGAAGGCGGGCCUCUGGGCCGAUACUGACGCUGAGGAGCGAAAGUGUGGGGAGCGAACAGG
This 253-nucleotide ribosomal RNA is filed under the name uncultured bacterium. RNAcentral describes it as "partial 16S ribosomal RNA". It matches the Rfam family "Bacterial small subunit ribosomal RNA", at positions 524 to 776 of the family's 1533-position model. The record is from RNAcentral.